This 253-nucleotide ribosomal RNA is filed under the name uncultured bacterium. RNAcentral's name for it is "partial 16S ribosomal RNA". It matches the Rfam family "Bacterial small subunit ribosomal RNA", at positions 524 to 776 of the family's 1533-position model. The record is from RNAcentral.
UACGUAGGGUGCGAGCGUUGUCCGGAAUUAUUGGGCGUAAAGAGCUUGUAGGCGGUCUGUCGCGUCUGCUGUGAAAAUCCGGGGCUCAACCCCGGACUUGCAGUGGGUACGGGCAGACUAGAGUGUGGUAGGGGAGACUGGAAUUCCUGGUGUAGCGGUGAAAUGCGCAGAUAUCAGGAGGAACACCGGUGGCGAAGGCGGGUCUCUGGGCCGAUAUUGACGCUGAGGAGCGAAAGCGUGGGGAGCGAACAGG